This is a small nucleolar RNA of 95 nucleotides. It matches the Rfam family "Small nucleolar RNA snR60/Z15/Z230/Z193/J17". From Rfam's summary of the family: The members of this family belong to the C/D class of snoRNAs which contain the C (UGAUGA) and D (CUGA) box motifs. Most of the members of the box C/D family function in directing site-specific 2'-O-methylation of substrate RNAs. The record is from Rfam.
NNUGGCGACUUGAUGAUUUGAAUAUGCAUAGUUCAACUGAAAAUUUAUGAUGAACUAACAUCAGCAAUGUCUUUCGCUCCUAUCUGAUCUCCAAU